UACAGAGGUCUCAAGCGUUGUUCGGAUUCCUUGGGCGUAAAGGGUGCGUAGGCGGCGCGGUAAGUCGGGUGUGAAAUCUUGGAGCUUAACUCCGAAACUGCAUUCGAUACUGCCGUGCUUGAGGACUGGAGAGGAGACUGGAAUUUACGGUGUAGCGGUGAAAUGCGUAGAUAUCGUAAGGAAGACCAGUGGCGAAGGCGGGUCUCUGGACAGUUCCUGACGCUGAGGCACGAAGGCCAGGGGAGCAAACGGG
Molecule: ribosomal RNA, 253 nt
Filed under: uncultured bacterium
Lineage: Bacteria
Description: partial 16S ribosomal RNA
Rfam family: Bacterial small subunit ribosomal RNA
Source: RNAcentral